UACGUAGGGUGCGAGCGUUGUCCGGAAUUACUGGGCGUAAAGAGCUCGUAGGUGGUUUGUCGCGUUGUUCGUGAAAACCGGGGGCUUAACCCUCGGCGUGCGGGCGAUACGGGCAGACUUGAGUACUGCAGGGGAGACUGGAAUUCCUGGUGUAGCGGUGGAAUGCGCAGAUAUCAGGAGGAACACCGGUGGCGAAGGCAGGUCACUGGGCCGCAACUGACGCUGAGGAGCGAAAGCAUGGGGAGCGAACAGG
RNAcentral lists this ribosomal RNA (253 nucleotides) under uncultured bacterium. RNAcentral's name for it is "partial 16S ribosomal RNA". It matches the Rfam family "Bacterial small subunit ribosomal RNA", at positions 524 to 776 of the family's 1533-position model. The record is from RNAcentral.